This 1370-nucleotide ribosomal RNA is filed under the name Nocardia sp. WMMB203. RNAcentral describes it as "bacterial SSU rRNA". It matches the Rfam family "Bacterial small subunit ribosomal RNA". The record is from RNAcentral. Lineage: Bacteria; Bacillati; Actinomycetota; Actinomycetes; Mycobacteriales; Nocardiaceae.
AUGCAAGUCGAGCGGUAGGCCCUUCGGGGUACACGAGCGGCGAACGGGUGAGUAACACGUGGGGUGAUCUGCCUCGUACUUCGGGAUAAGCCUGGGAAACUGGGUCUAAUACCGGAUAGGACCUCUUGUCGCAUGGCUUGGGGUGGAAAGAUUUAUCGGUGCGAGAUGGGCCCGCGGCCUAUCAGCUUGUUGGUGGGGUAAUGGCCUACCAAGGCGACGACGGGUAGCCGGCCUGAGAGGGCGACCGGCCACACUGGGACUGAGACACGGCCCAGACUCCUACGGGAGGCAGCAGUGGGGAAUAUUGCACAAUGGGCGGAAGCCUGAUGCAGCGACGCCGCGUGAGGGAUGACGGCCUUCGGGUUGUAAACCUCUUUCGACAGGGACGAAGCGCAAGUGACGGUACCUGUAGAAGAAGCACCGGCCAACUACGUGCCAGCAGCCGCGGUAAUACGUAGGGUGCGAGCGUUGUCCGGAAUUACUGGGCGUAAAGAGCUUGUAGGCGGUUUGUCGCGUCGUCUGUGAAAACUCACAGCUCAACUGUGAGCUUGCAGGCGAUACGGGCAGACUUGAGUACUGCAGGGGAGACUGGAAUUCCUGGUGUAGCGGUGAAAUGCGCAGAUAUCAGGAGGAACACCGGUGGCGAAGGCGGGUCUCUGGGCAGUAACUGACGCUGAGAAGCGAAAGCGUGGGUAGCGAACAGGAUUAGAUACCCUGGUAGUCCACGCCGUAAACGGUGGGCGCUAGGUGUGGGUUUCCUUCCACGGGAUCCGUGCCGUAGCUAACGCAUUAAGCGCCCCGCCUGGGGAGUACGGCCGCAAGGCUAAAACUCAAAGGAAUUGACGGGGGCCCGCACAAGCGGCGGAGCAUGUGGAUUAAUUCGAUGCAACGCGAAGAACCUUACCUGGGUUUGACAUACACCGGAAACCUGCAGAGAUGUAGGCCCCCUUGUGGUCGGUGUACAGGUGGUGCAUGGCUGUCGUCAGCUCGUGUCGUGAGAUGUUGGGUUAAGUCCCGCAACGAGCGCAACCCUUGUCCUGUGUUGCCAGCACGUAAUGGUGGGGACUCGCAGGAGACUGCCGGGGUCAACUCGGAGGAAGGUGGGGACGACGUCAAGUCAUCAUGCCCCUUAUGUCCAGGGCUUCACACAUGCUACAAUGGGCGGUACAGAGGGCUGCGAGACCGUGAGGUGGAGCGAAUCCCUUAAAGCCGUUCUCAGUUCGGAUCGGGGUCUGCAACUCGACCCCGUGAAGUUGGAGUCGCUAGUAAUCGCAGAUCAGCAACGCUGCGGUGAAUACGUUCCCGGGCCUUGUACACACCGCCCGUCACGUCAUGAAAGUCGGUAACACCCGAAGCCGGUGGCCCAACCC